RNAcentral lists this ribosomal RNA (253 nucleotides) under uncultured bacterium. Its description in RNAcentral is "partial 16S ribosomal RNA". It matches the Rfam family "Bacterial small subunit ribosomal RNA", at positions 524 to 776 of the family's 1533-position model. The record is from RNAcentral.
UACGGAAGGUGCAAGCGUUGUUCGGAUUGACUGGGCGUAAAGAGCACGUAGGCGGGUUCGUAAGUCGAUUGUGAAAUCCCCGGGCUUAACCUGGGAAUGGCAGUCGAAACUGUGAAUCUUGAAUGCCCGAGAGGUUAGUGGAAUUCCAGGUGUAGGAGUGAAAUCCGUAGAUAUCUGGAGGAACACCGGAGGCGAAGGCGGCUAACUGGUGGUGCAUUGACGCUGAGGUGCGAAAGCGUGGGGAGCAAACAGG